RNAcentral lists this ribosomal RNA (1492 nucleotides) under metagenome. Its description in RNAcentral is "bacterial SSU rRNA". It matches the Rfam family "Bacterial small subunit ribosomal RNA". The record is from RNAcentral.
GAGUUUGAUCAUGGCUCAGAUUGAACGCUGGCGGCAGGCCUAACACAUGCAAGUCGAACGCGAAAGUCCUUCGGGAUGAGUAGAGUGGCGGACGGGUGAGUAACGCGUAGGAAUCUGUCCGGUAGUGGGGGAUAACGUUCCGAAAGGAACGCUAAUACCGCAUACGCCCCAUGGGGGAAAGAGGGGGAUUCUUCGGAACCUCUCGCUAUCGGAGGAGCCUGCGUCGGAUUAGCUAGUUGGUAGGGUAAAGGCCUACCAAGGCGACGAUCCGUAGCUGGUCUGAGAGGAUGAUCAGCCACACCGGAACUGAGACACGGUCCGGACUCCUACGGGAGGCAGCAGUGGGGAAUAUUGCGCAAUGGGGGAAACCCUGACGCAGCCAUGCCGCGUGUGUGAAGAAGGCCUUCGGGUUGUAAAGCACUUUCAGAGGGGAGGAAAGGGCGCUGGCUAAUAUCCAGCGCAGUUGACGCUACCCUCAGAAGAAGCACCGGCUAAUUCCGUGCCAGCAGCCGCGGUAAUACGGAAGGUGCGAGCGUUAAUCGGAAUUACUGGGCGUAAAGCGCGCGUAGGCGGCUUGGUAAGUCGGGUGUGAAAGCCCCGGGCUCAACCUGGGAACGGCACUCGAUACUGCUGGGCUAGAGUACGAGAGAGGGGGGUGGAAUUCCAGGUGUAGCGGUGAAAUGCGUAGAGAUCUGGAGGAACACCGGUGGCGAAGGCGGCCCCCUGGUUCGAUACUGACGCUGAGGUGCGAAAACGUGGGGAGCAAACAGGAUUAGAUACCCUGGUAGUCCACGCCGUAAACGAUGUCUGCUAGCCGUGGGGAUCCUUGAGGUCUCGGUGGCGCAGCUAACGCGAUAAGCAGACCGCCUGGGGAGUUCGGCCGCAAGGUUAAAACUCAAAUGAAUUGACGGGGGCCCGCACAAGCGGUGGAGCAUGUGGUUUAAUUCGAUGCAACGCGAAGAACCUUACCAGGUCUUGACAUCCAGCGAACUGUCCAGAGAUGGACGGGUGCCUUCGGGAGCGCUGAGACAGGUGCUGCAUGGCUGUCGUCAGCUCGUGUCGUGAGAUGUUGGGUUAAGUCCCGUAACGAGCGCAACCCUUGUCCUUAGUUGCUAGCGGUUCGGCCGAGCACUCUAGGGAGACUGCCGGUGACAAACCGGAGGAAGGUGGGGACGACGUCAAGUCAUCAUGGCCCUUACGACCUGGGCUACACACGUGCUACAAUGGCCGGUACAGAGGGCUGCGAAGGGGCGACCUGGAGCGAAUCCUUGAAAACCGGUCGUAGUCCGGAUCGGAGUCUGCAACUCGACUCCGUGAAGUCGGAAUCGCUAGUAAUCGCGAAUCAGAAUGUCGCGGUGAAUACGUUCCCGGGCCUUGUACACACCGCCCGUCACACCAUGGGAGUUGACUGCACCAGAAGUAGGUAGCUUAACCGCAAGGAGGGCGCUUACCACGGUGUGGCCAAUGACUGGGGUGAAGUCGGAACAAGGUA